AUUAUUUCAAUUAAAAGGGAAACAGGUGUAACUCCUGUACGGUCCCGCCGCUGUAAUAAAAGAGUAGUGCAGAAUAUGCCACUGUUAAUAUGGGAAGGCUUUGUACUAUGUUGAUUUUUAAGUCAGAAGACCUGCCUGUUGUUAUAG
Molecule: non-coding RNA, 147 nt
Filed under: Clostridium tetani
Lineage: Bacteria; Bacillati; Bacillota; Clostridia; Eubacteriales; Clostridiaceae
Source: RNAcentral